CUGAGAAGCCAGUGAUGGUUUAAGUCAGAAUGUCUGAACCUGUUUGAAGCGUCUCGGUGAUGCAUAUUCUGUGUGCCUCUGAGGUUAGUCUCUGAGU
Vombatus ursinus (common wombat) is the source of this 97-nucleotide small nucleolar RNA. Lineage: Eukaryota; Metazoa; Chordata; Mammalia; Diprotodontia; Vombatidae. The record is from Ensembl.